This 468-nucleotide ribosomal RNA is filed under the name uncultured bacterium. Its description in RNAcentral is "partial 16S ribosomal RNA". It matches the Rfam family "Bacterial small subunit ribosomal RNA", at positions 28 to 507 of the family's 1533-position model. The record is from RNAcentral.
GACGAACGCUGGCGGCGUGCUUAACACAUGCAAGUCGAACGGAAAGGCCCUGCUUUUGUGGGGUGCUCGAGUGGCGAACGGGUGAGUAACACGUGAGUAACCUGCCCUUGACUUUGGGAUAACUUCAGGAAACUGGGGCUAAUACCGGAUAGGAGCUCCUGCUGCAUGGUGGGGGUUGGAAAGUUUCGGCGGUUGGGGAUGGACUCGCGGCUUAUCAGCUUGUUGGUGGGGUAGUGGCUUACCAAGGCUUUGACGGGUAGCCGGCCUGGGAGGGUGACCGGGCACAAUGGGCCUGGGGUAGGGCCCAGUAUCCUACGGGAGGCAAGGGGGGGGAACAUUGCACAAUGGGGCGGAGGCUGAUGCGACAACGCCGGGUGCGGGAAGCCCGGCUUUGGGUUGUGAACCGCUUUGGCCUUUGCCGGAGCCUGCGUGACGGUAAUGGGUAAAGAAGCACCGGCUAACUACGUG